This 253-nucleotide ribosomal RNA is filed under the name uncultured bacterium. RNAcentral's name for it is "partial 16S ribosomal RNA". It matches the Rfam family "Bacterial small subunit ribosomal RNA", at positions 524 to 776 of the family's 1533-position model. The record is from RNAcentral.
CACGUAGGGCGCAAGCGUGUCCGGAAUUAUUGGGCGUAAAGAGCUCGUAGGCGGUCUGUUGCGUCCGCUGUGAAAACUCGGGGCUUAACCCCGAGCCUGCAGUGGAUACGGGCAGACUAGAGGUAGGUAGGGGAGAAUGGAAUUCCCGGUGUAGGCGGUGAAAUGCGCAGAUAUCGGGAGGAACACCGGUGGCGAAGGCGGUUCUCUGGGCAUUACCUGACGCUGAGGAGCGAAAGUGUGGGGAGCGAACAGG